This 1397-nucleotide long non-coding RNA is filed under the name Cricetulus griseus (Chinese hamster). RNAcentral's name for it is "lncRNA (ENSCGRG00015034905.1)". Lineage: Eukaryota; Metazoa; Chordata; Mammalia; Rodentia; Cricetidae. The record is from RNAcentral.
GUGCCCUCUGCUGGCCUGCAGGAGUAUAUCAUCAUUAUCAUCAUCGUCGUCGUCGUCGUCGUCGUCGUCGUCAUCAUAAAGAACCUCAUUUCAGAGCCCCAGAACUCAGGUAAGGCUGGAUGAAGUUGUGUUCAUCUAUAAUCCCAGCACUUCUACAGCACAAUGGGAAGAAGAGACAGGUGACUUUCCAGAGGCUCAUGGGCCGGCUAGCCUGGUGGUUGGUGUGUGCUGUGGGAAACAAGAGAAGAGACUGCCUCUAACAAGAUGGAAGGUGUCCCUGCAUAGAAGCCUAGAGAAGCCAUCGUGUGAAGCUGUGACAGAGAAGACUGGAUUACCUUGGAGACCCCAAGAUGUUGGAGAUGCCAGAGUCAUGUGAUACCUGCUGAAGAGAGCUGCUAACCGGGAGUGGAACCAGCCCAAGAGAAACAAGUGUGUUGCAGUCAACAAAGCUGAAAGGAGUUAGAGAUCUGAAGAGCACUUUGACAUCAGACAUGGAGAUGCAGAAUUUGGAGUUUUCCCUGCUGGUUUUAGGCAUUGGAGCCUACUUCUUUGGGAUUCCACCACAUACUGAAAAACAGCUGAUACUUCCAGCAUCGUAGCCUGGACAACUACUGGAUCCUUGCACUUUCCAUUCACAGCCAUCCUUUGUUAAUCAUUCCAAUAAUCUAUAUGUGUGAGAGAGAUUCAUUCUGUAAGUUCUAUUCUCUAGAGAAUCCUGACUAAUACAUAGAGUUAGAAAGGCUAGGAGCUAUUGCCUUGAUGGAGGAAGUAUGUCACUUGGGGUAGGCAUUGAGGUUUCAAAAGCUCAUGCCAGGCCCAGUCCGUCUCCCAUCUCUGUCUCUAUCUCUGUCUCCUGUUUUUCUUCCUUCCUCCCUCCCUCUCUCCCUCCCUCUGCCCCCCUUCUCACUCUGCAGAUCAGGAUGCAUCUCUCAGCUACUGUUGCAGUGCAACGCAUGCUGCUAUGAUCCCCACCAUGACAAUAAUAGAUUAAACCUCUGAAACUGUAAGCCAGCCCAAUUAAAUGCUUCCUUUUAUAAGAGUUGUGGUCAUGGUGUCUUCUCACAGCAAUAGCGCACUAAGACAAAUUCCUUCUCUGAGAAAGAUAUUGUUCUUAGGCUUUGGAAUAUGCAGAGGUAAAAGACAAGGGUUAGUGACCAGCACCCUCUACAUAUUUCUUAUAGUAAUGGGAAUGCUUUGGGAAUCAGUUUCUUAUAGAAUUCAACAUAAUCUCAUUCCUCAACAUUUACCUGAGAGCUAAAACUUUGUGUUCAUGCAAACACUUGUAUGAUAAUGUAUAGUGCCUUUGUUUAUUGUGGCAUAACUCGACUUUCAGCUGAUAACUGAAUAAACAGAAAGUAGUGUAUUCAAACAAUGGAAUAUUAAAUAGCAAUAAAAAG